Molecule: ribosomal RNA, 76 nt
Filed under: Anoxybacillus andreesenii
Lineage: Bacteria; Bacillati; Bacillota; Bacilli; Caryophanales; Anoxybacillaceae
Description: Robertmurraya andreesenii partial 16S ribosomal RNA
Rfam family: Bacterial small subunit ribosomal RNA
Source: RNAcentral
UUAUUGGAGAGUUUGAUCCUGGCUCAGGACGAACGCUGGCGGCGUGCCUAAUACAUGCAAGUCGAGCGAUAUCUUU